GAUGAAGAACGUAGUGAAAUGCGAUAAUUAAUGUGAAUUGCAGAAUUCAGUGAAUCAUCGAAUCUUUGAACGCACAUUGCGCCCCCUGGUAUUCCGGGGGGCAUGCCUGUCCGAGCGUCAUUACUGCCCUCAAGCGCGGCUUGUGUGUUGGGCCCUCGUCCCCCCCGGGGGACGUGCCCGAAAGGCAGUGGCGGCGCCGUGCCCGGACCUCGAGCGUAUGGGGCUUUGUCACCCGCUCUGGAGACCCGGCCGGCGGCCGUCGGACCACCCCAACCUUUUUAACCGGUUGACCUCGGAUCAGGCAGGGAUACCCGCUGAACUUAAGCAUAUCAAUAAGCGGAGGA
Molecule: unclassified non-coding RNA, 344 nt
Filed under: soil metagenome
Description: partial contains 5.8S ribosomal RNA, internal transcribed spacer 2, and large subunit ribosomal RNA
Rfam family: 5.8S ribosomal RNA (bases 1-120)
Source: RNAcentral